RNAcentral lists this ribosomal RNA (354 nucleotides) under bacterium LimC-10-J-101. RNAcentral describes it as "bacterial SSU rRNA". It matches the Rfam family "Bacterial small subunit ribosomal RNA", at positions 289 to 635 of the family's 1533-position model. The record is from RNAcentral.
GACCUGAGAGGGUGAUCGGCCACACUGGGACUGAGACACGGCCCAGACUCCUACGGGAGGCAGCAGUAGGGAAUCUUCCGCAAUGGACGCAAGUCUGACGGAGCAACACCGCGUGAGUGAUGAAGGUUUUCGGAUCGUAAAGCUCUGUUGUUAGGGAAGAACAAGUGCGAGAGUAACUGCUCGCACAUUGACGGUACCUAACCAGAAAGCCACGGCUAACUACGUGCCAGCAGCCGCGGUAAUACGUAGCUGGCAAGCGUUGUCCGGAAUUAUUGGGCGUAAAGGGCUCGCAGGCGGUUUCUUAAGUCUGAUGUGAAAGCCCCCGGCUCACCCUGGCAGGGUCAUUGGAAACUG